UUAAAAAUUUCUAAUAUUUUUAUCUGAUUGCAACCAAAUUUUCAGGAAUCACAAAGACUAUAGUUAUUAUUGUAUAUACCACAAUUCCAGCUUUAAAAUUACGGUGCCUUCUAACAUAACAAGUGCUGUCGAAAAAAUUAUUUUUCUGUCUCUUAUAGUCUGUGAAAUCUAGGUGUUUAUUCGGACAGACGGACAUGACUAUAUCGUCUCGGCUUGACGUUCAUCAAGAAUGUGUUACCACCACAGAAAUUCAUAUUUUUAUGUUAACAUCUUACAAAUGCUGCAACAUAUGACUAAGGUCAUAUGAGAAAGGUUGCUUUAGGGACAGUGUAACCGUUUAUAUACUCUAUGGUAUAGUAAUUUAAUUUCUUUGAAAGUCAAAAAGGCUAUCGGAUAUCAGAAUCGAGUCUUUCAAGUAUUGUUAAGCAUGUCAUUUUCUGUUAGGAGACAACGACUGUUCCUCAACGACUGUAAUGUAAUAUUUCUUAAAUAAUGGCAUUUUUUCCAAAAACUCAACAAUGAUUCUAAACUUAAUUGCUUGUGAAUAAUAUAAUGGAAGUAUGGAAGUUAUAA
Long non-coding RNA from Drosophila nasuta, 573 nucleotides. RefSeq lists it as uncharacterized. The transcript has 2 exons. Lineage: Eukaryota; Metazoa; Arthropoda; Insecta; Diptera; Drosophilidae. The record is from RefSeq and is a predicted model, not a curated record.